RNAcentral lists this ribosomal RNA (491 nucleotides) under uncultured bacterium. Its description in RNAcentral is "partial 16S ribosomal RNA". It matches the Rfam family "Bacterial small subunit ribosomal RNA", at positions 29 to 507 of the family's 1533-position model. The record is from RNAcentral.
AGUGAACGCUGGCGGUAGGCCUAACACAUGCAAGUCGAACGGCAGCACAGUAAGAGCUUGCUCUUACGGGUGGCGAGUGGCGGACGGGUGAGGAAUACAUCGGAAUCUACUUUUUCGUGGGGGAUAACGUAGGGAAACUUACGCUAAUACCGCAUACGACCUACGGGUGAAAGCAGGGGAUCUUCGGACCUUGCGCGAUUGAAUGAGCCGAUGCCGGAUUAGCUAGUUGGCGGGGUAAAGGCCACCAAGGCGACGAUCCGUAGCUGGUCUGAGAGGAUGAUCAGCCACACUGGAACUGAGACACGGUCCAGACUCCUACGGGAGGCAGCAGUGGGGAAUAUUGGACAAUGGGCGCAAGCCUGAUCCAGCCAUACCGCGUGGGUGAAGAAGGCCUUCGGGUUGUAAAGCCCUUUUGUUGGGAAAGAAAAGCAGCAGGUUAAUACCCCGCUGUUCUGACGGUACCCAAAGAAUAAGCACCGGCUAACUUCGUG